CUACGUGCCAGCAGCCGCGGUAAUACGGAAGGUCCGGGCGUUAUCCGGAUUUAUUGGGUUUAAAGGGAGCGUAGGCCGGAGAUUAAGUGUAUUGUGAAAUGUAGACGCUCAACGUCUGACUUGCAGCGCAUACUGGUUUCCUUGAGUACGCACAACGUUGGCGGAAUUCGUCGUGUAGCGGUGAAAUGCUUAGAUAUGACGAAGAACUCCGAUUGCGAAGGCAGCUGACGGGAGCGCAACUGACGCUUAAGCUCGAAGGUGCGGGUAUCAAACAGGAUUAGAUACCCUGGUAGUCCGCACAGUAAACGAUGGAUGCCCGCUGUUGGUACCUGGUAUCAGCGGCUAAGCGAAAGCAUUAAGCAUCCCACCUGGGGAGUACGCCGGCAACGGUGAAACUCAAAGGAAUUGACGGGGGCCCGCACAAGCGGAGGAACAUGUGGCUUAAUUCGAUGAUACGCGAGGAACCUUACCCGGGCUUGA
RNAcentral lists this ribosomal RNA (480 nucleotides) under uncultured bacterium. RNAcentral's name for it is "bacterial SSU rRNA". It matches the Rfam family "Bacterial small subunit ribosomal RNA", at positions 501 to 984 of the family's 1533-position model. The record is from RNAcentral.